UACGAAGGGGGCUAGCGUUGCUCGGAAUUACUGGGCGUAAAGCGCGCGUAGGCGGCUUUGUAAGUCAGAGGUGAAAUCCCGGGGCUCAACUCCGGAACUGCCUUUGAAACUGCAUCGCUUGAAUCCGGGAGAGGUGAGUGGAAUUCCGAGUGUAGAGGUGAAAUUCGUAGAUAUUCGGAAGAACACCAGUGGCGAAGGCGGCUCACUGGACCGGUAUUGACGCUGAGGUGCGAAAGCGUGGGGAGCAAACAGG
This 253-nucleotide ribosomal RNA is filed under the name uncultured bacterium. RNAcentral describes it as "partial 16S ribosomal RNA". It matches the Rfam family "Bacterial small subunit ribosomal RNA", at positions 524 to 776 of the family's 1533-position model. The record is from RNAcentral.